This 453-nucleotide ribosomal RNA is filed under the name uncultured bacterium. RNAcentral's name for it is "bacterial SSU rRNA". It matches the Rfam family "Bacterial small subunit ribosomal RNA", at positions 30 to 477 of the family's 1533-position model. The record is from RNAcentral.
AUUGAACGCUGGCGGCAUGCCUUACACAUGCAAGUCGAACGGCAGCACGGGAGCAAUCCUGGUGGCGAGUGGCGAACGGGUGAGUAAUAUAUCGGAACGUGCCCAGUCGUGGGGGAUAACGUAGCGAAAGCUACGCUAAUACCGCAUACGAUCUACGGAUGAAAGCGGGGGAUCGCAAGACCUCGCGCGAUUGGAGCGGCCGAUAUCAGAUUAGGUAGUUGGUGAGGUAAAGGCUCACCAAGCCGACGAUCUGUAGCUGGUCUGAGAGGACGACCAGCCACACUGGGACUGAGACACGGUCCAGACUCCUACGGGAGGCAGCAGUGGGGAAUUUUGGACAAUGGACGCAAGUCUGAUCCAGCCAUUCCGCGUGCAGGAUGAAGGCCCUCGGGUUGUAAACUGCUUUGUACGGAACGAAAGGUUUCUAUUAAUACUUAGGAGCUCAUGACGGUA